CCUGGCUCAGAUUGAACGCUGGCGGCAGGCCUAACACAUGCAAGUCGAGCGGUAGAGAGAAGCUUGCUUCUCUUGAGAGCGGCGGACGGGUGAGUAAUGCCUAGGAAUCUGCCUGGUAGUGGGGGAUAACGUUCGGAAACGGACGCUAAUACCGCAUACGUCCUACGGGAGAAAGCAGGGGACCUUCGGGCCUUGCGCUAUCAGAUGAGCCUAGGUCGGAUUAGCUAGUUGGUGAGGUAAUGGCUCACCAAGGCGACGAUCCGUAACUGGUCUGAGAGGAUGAUCAGUCACACUGGAACUGAGACACGGUCCAGACUCCUACGGGAGGCAGCAGUGGGGAAUAUUGGACAAUGGGCGAAAGCCUGAUCCAGCCAUGCCGCGUGUGUGAAGAAGGUCUUCGGAUUGUAAAGCACUUUAAGUUGGGAGGAAGGGCAGUUACCUAAUACGUGAUUGUUUUGACGUUACCGACAGAAUAAGCACCGGC
RNAcentral lists this ribosomal RNA (484 nucleotides) under Pseudoalteromonas sp. ARK-33. RNAcentral describes it as "bacterial SSU rRNA". It matches the Rfam family "Bacterial small subunit ribosomal RNA", at positions 18 to 497 of the family's 1533-position model. The record is from RNAcentral. Lineage: Bacteria; Pseudomonadati; Pseudomonadota; Gammaproteobacteria; Alteromonadales; Pseudoalteromonadaceae.